UACGAAGGGGGCUAGCGUUGCUCGGAAUUACUGGGCGUAAAGCGCACGUAGGCGGAUCGUUAAGUCGGGGGUGAAAUCCUGGAGCUCAACUCCAGAACUGCCUUCGAUACUGGCGAUCUCGAGUUCGGGAGAGGUGAGUGGAACUGCGAGUGUAGAGGUGAAAUUCGUAGAUAUUCGCAAGAACACCAGUGGCGAAGGCGAACUCACUGGCCCGAUACUGACGCUGAGUGCGAAAGCGUGGGAGCAACAGGG
This 252-nucleotide ribosomal RNA is filed under the name uncultured bacterium. RNAcentral describes it as "partial 16S ribosomal RNA". It matches the Rfam family "Bacterial small subunit ribosomal RNA", at positions 524 to 776 of the family's 1533-position model. The record is from RNAcentral.